RNAcentral lists this non-coding RNA (23 nucleotides) under Arabidopsis thaliana (thale cress). The record is from RNAcentral. Lineage: Eukaryota; Viridiplantae; Streptophyta; Magnoliopsida; Brassicales; Brassicaceae.
AACUGGCUGAGUUGAUGAACCGC